RNAcentral lists this transfer RNA (74 nucleotides) under Roseivivax halodurans JCM 10272. It matches the Rfam family "tRNA". From Rfam's summary of the family: Transfer RNA (tRNA) molecules are approximately 80 nucleotides in length. Their secondary structure includes four short double-helical elements and three loops (D, anti-codon, and T loops). Lineage: Bacteria; Pseudomonadati; Pseudomonadota; Alphaproteobacteria; Rhodobacterales; Roseobacteraceae. The record is from Rfam by way of RNAcentral.
GUCCCUGUAGCUCAGCUGGAUAGAGUGCUGCAUUCCUACUGCGGAGGUCGUGGGUUCGACUCCCUCCAGGGACG